UAGGGAAUAUUGCGAAAUGGGCGAAAGCCCGAUGCAGCAACGCCGCGUGGGCGAUGAGGGCCUUCGGGUCGUAAAGCCCUUUUUGAGGGGAUGAGGAAGGACAGUACCCUCAGAAUAAGCCUCGGCUAACUACGUGCCAGCAGCCGCGGUAAAACGUAGGAGGCGAGCGUUAUCCGGAUUUACUGGGCGUAAAGCGCGUGCAGGCGGAUUGGAGAGUUGGAUGUGAAAGCUCCCGGCUUAACUGGGAGAGGUCGUUCAAUACUUCCAGGCUUGAGUGCAGGAGAGGGAAGUGGAAUUCCGGGUGUAGUGGUGAAAUGCGUAGAUAUCCGGAGGAACACCAGUGGCGAAAGCGGCUUCCUGGACUGUAACUGACGCUCAGACGCGAAAGCUAGGGUAGCAAACG
Molecule: ribosomal RNA, 403 nt
Filed under: uncultured bacterium
Lineage: Bacteria
Description: bacterial SSU rRNA
Rfam family: Bacterial small subunit ribosomal RNA
Source: RNAcentral